AUUGAGGAAGGAUUUGACUGAUUGCAAACCUCACAAAAAAAAUGCUAAACCAGAUU
This 56-nucleotide non-coding RNA is filed under the name marine eukaryotic metagenome. The record is from RNAcentral.